This is a long non-coding RNA of Ipomoea triloba (trilobed morning glory), 576 nucleotides long. RefSeq lists it as uncharacterized. The transcript has 2 exons. Lineage: Eukaryota; Viridiplantae; Streptophyta; Magnoliopsida; Solanales; Convolvulaceae. The record is from RefSeq and is a predicted model, not a curated record.
CUUCUAACAUCUUUGUUUUUUUUUUUUUAAUUCCACUUUGUAUUUUAUUUGUGGAUAGAUUAAAGAUUACUUGGUUAAAGAUUGCUUAAAAUACUUAGGUGAGCAGAAUCUGUGUUGUUUGUUUAUUUGCUUAAAUAUAUAUAUAUUUGUGUAUGUAAUGUGUAUUUAUAUACUGUACGUACAGUAUGUAUAUAUGAAGUAUGCUUUUAUUUGUGAAAGUAGAAUUAAUUGGAUUUUGAUGUGUGUAGUGUUUUUGGUUAAUUAAAAGCCAACGUCUGAAAGAAGGAAGGGAUAAAAGCUAAUUUGCAGUAUUGUUAGGAAAUCUGCAGUAGUGUACAUACUUCAUGGCUCGUUUGGGUAUAACUAGAAUUGCUGAAAGAAGAAAAAGGAUUGUGGCUGCUUUGACUGUUUUUUUAGAGAUGUAUACUGCUGUUAGUGCUUUAGUACUUUUAAUGGCAUCAACAACAUCUCUCAAUAGUUAUAGGCCAAGCAUUAAGCACUAUUCUCUUGAUAGUUAUUACAAAAGAGAGUACGUUCAACGAAUUUUGAAUAAUAACGAGUUAUGCAUUUCACUAC